RNAcentral lists this transfer RNA (83 nucleotides) under Oscillospiraceae bacterium. RNAcentral describes it as "tRNA-Leu". It matches the Rfam family "tRNA". Rfam says of the family: Transfer RNA (tRNA) molecules are approximately 80 nucleotides in length. The record is from RNAcentral. Lineage: Bacteria; Bacillati; Bacillota; Clostridia; Eubacteriales; Oscillospiraceae.
GCGGUUGUGGUGGAAUUGGCAGACACGCUGGUCUUAGGAGCCAGUACUUCGGUAUGCGGGUUCGAGUCCCGCCAACCGCACCA